AUUGAACGCUGGCGGCAGGCUUAACACAUGCAAGUCGAGCGGGGUGAUGGUGCUUGCACUAUCACUUAGCGGCGGACGGGGGAGUAAUGCUUAGGAAUCUGCCUAUUAGUGGGGGACAACACCUCGAAAGGGAUGCUAAUACCGCAUACGUCCUACGGGAGAAAGCAGGGGAUCACUUGUGACCUUGCGCUAAUAGAUGAGCCUAAGUCGGAUUAGCUAGUUGGUGGGGUAAAGGCCUACCAAGGCGACGAUCUGUAGCGGGUCUGAGAGGAUGAUCCGCCACACUGGGACUGAGACACGGCCCAGACUCCUACGGGAGGCAGCAGUGGGGAAUAUUGGACAAUGGGGGGAACCCUGAUCCAGCCAUGCCGCGUGUGUGAAGAAGGCCUUAUGGUUGUAAAGCACUUUAAGCGAGGAGGAGGCUCUUUUGGUUAAUACCCAAGAUGAGUGGACGUUACUCGCAGAAUAAGCACCGGCUAACUCUGUGCCAGCCGCCGCUGUAA
RNAcentral lists this ribosomal RNA (503 nucleotides) under uncultured bacterium. RNAcentral's name for it is "partial 16S ribosomal RNA". It matches the Rfam family "Bacterial small subunit ribosomal RNA", at positions 30 to 523 of the family's 1533-position model. The record is from RNAcentral.